UACGUAGGGGGCGAGCGUUGUCCGGAUUUAUUGGGCGUAAAGAGCGUGUAGGCGGCCAGGUAGGUCAGCUGUGAAAACUCGAGGCUCAACCUCGAGAUGUCGGCUGAAACCAUCUGGCUAGGGUCCGGAAGAGGAGAAUGGAAUUCCUGGUGUAGCGGUGGAAUGCGCAGAUAUCAGGAGGAACACCGGUGGCGAAGGCGGGAUCCUGGGCCAGUACUGACGCUGAGGAGCGAAAGCGUGGGGAGCAAACAGG
RNAcentral lists this ribosomal RNA (253 nucleotides) under uncultured bacterium. Its description in RNAcentral is "partial 16S ribosomal RNA". It matches the Rfam family "Bacterial small subunit ribosomal RNA", at positions 524 to 776 of the family's 1533-position model. The record is from RNAcentral.